This is a long non-coding RNA of Rhagoletis zephyria (snowberry fruit fly), 116 nucleotides long. RefSeq lists it as uncharacterized. NCBI's taxonomy places the organism in Eukaryota, Metazoa, Arthropoda, Insecta, Diptera, Tephritidae. The record is from RefSeq and is a predicted model, not a curated record.
UUCAAAAAAAAAAAAAAGGUUGUCAAUUCGUCGGAAAAGUUCUUUUUAUGUAUGUUACCGCAUAACUUUGGACCACGUUAACCGAUUUCUAUAAUUCGUUUUUAAAGCAAAGUUGG